AUGGGCGGCGAGAACAAGGAGGCGGCUGCGCUGGUGAAGAAGAUCGCCGGCCUGCACGCCGCCAUCUCCAAGCUACCGUCCCUGAGCCCGUCUCCCGAGGCGGACGCGCUCUUCACCGCCCUCGUGGCCGCGUGCGCCCCGCCGAGCGCCGCCGUCGACGUGGCCACGCUGGGCCCGAGGGCCCGGAGGAUGCGGGCCGACCUCGUCCGCCUCUGCGCCGACGCCGAGGCGCGCCUCGAGGCGCGCUGCUCCGACGCGCUGGCCGCCCUCGACGCCCCGCUCGACCACCUCAGGCUCUUCCCCUACCACGACAACUACGUCCGGCUGGGCGAGCUGGAGCACGCGCUGCUGUCCCGCCACGCGCCCGACCACCUCGCCGUGCCCGCGCGCGUCGCGUUCCUCGGCUCGGGAUCCCUGCCGCUCAGCGCGCUCCUGCUCGCCGCGCGCCACAUGCCCGACGCGGCCGUCGACUGCUUCGACCGGUGCGGCGCCGCCAACGAGCGCGCGCGGAGGCUGCUCCUCCGCGGGAACGACGCCGGCAACGUGGCCGCGCGCAUGUCGUUCCGCACGGCGGACGUCGAGGGCCUCACGCACGAGCUCGCCGCAUACGACGUGGUCUUCCUGGCGGCGCCCGUCGGCGUGGCGCCGGAGGAGAAGGCCCGCGUGAUAGCGCACCUCGGCCGGCACAUGGCCGCCGGCGCCGCCCUCGUUGUGCGGAGCGCGCACGGGGCCCGUGGCUUCCUGUGCCCCGUCGUGGAGCCCGCGGAGGUCAGGCGGGGCGGGUUCCAGGUGUUGGCCGUGCACCAUCCCGAGAACGCCGAGAUGGUCUACUCCGUCAUUGUCGCACGUAAGGGCUACCUCGAGCUCGUGCCACCGGUGGUGAGCCCGCCGUGCAGCUGCUGCGAGGUGGAGAAGGCGCGCCGCAGCGUGCCGUCAACGAGCUGUCACCUUGACGCCAUGGACGAAAUCCGGAGGCGCGCAUGGUGA
RNAcentral lists this ribosomal RNA (987 nucleotides) under Triticum aestivum (bread wheat). RNAcentral describes it as "partial small subunit ribosomal RNA". Lineage: Eukaryota; Viridiplantae; Streptophyta; Magnoliopsida; Poales; Poaceae. The record is from RNAcentral.